Erinaceus europaeus (western European hedgehog) is the source of this 992-nucleotide long non-coding RNA. RefSeq lists it as uncharacterized. NCBI's taxonomy places the organism in Eukaryota, Metazoa, Chordata, Mammalia, Eulipotyphla, Erinaceidae. The record is from RefSeq and is a predicted model, not a curated record. The transcript has 2 exons.
UUGGGUCCCAACAUGGAAAAUCAGGGUUUUGGGGUCUUUACUUCUGUUCUUAUUCAGGAGUAACAACACUGGAAGAGGCCUCUUCUAGGGAUGUUCUUGGUUUGUCCCAGUCCCCGGUUGACAUAAACUAGCAGCAAUCCAAUCAGAGCUAUUAAACAACCUUUCUAACCACUCCAGCCCUUCCUGCAAGAAUGUUAUCUCAGAAGGUGAAAACCAACUGUUUUUAAGCUGGGGGGGGGUGGCGGGGGACGGUGGCGGGAGGAUGCCUGUGUGUGUUUGCUGUGCAUUCUUUUUUCUUGGGAUUAUUUUCUGGUUCUGAAAGGCAGUGGGGGAAGGAGGGAAAGGAAAUCCAGCACAUAGGAAGAAAGGAGCUGGAAGGAGUUUUCACUCUUCCCCUGGCCAAACAGCACCAGGAUUCUCGCCAAGAAGAAAGUGCAGGAUUGGCAGCAAGCGAAAGAUCCUGUAUAGACCUUUAGGAAAGAUUUUCGGCCACAGCUCGGGGCCUCCAAGAUGGGGCUGGGAGAUUUCUGGCAGCGGCCCCCGGCCCAGGCAUGUUCCCACAUAAUUGAAGUCGAAUGUGCUGGGGGAGGGUGGCCGGAGGCAGCCUCCGCUAGAUUCUUGGCUGCUGCAGAAUCUUCAGCUUUCUGCAGUUGGCCCUGUUUGGGAUCAAGCCAGUUUGUGUUGAUUCUCCGCAGCAUGGAGACAAACGCGAUGAAGCUGUUUUCCUGAGGCGUGCAUUUUGGAAUGAGCCUUUGGAACACUGACCCCACCUCGACUGGUAAAAACUGCUCUUCUCCCAGCUGGUGGUGGGCUGCUUGAAGGAGACGAUGAAGAAACGAGGAGUGGGCAAAGCUCUGCAGACUACUUCUCAGCCUCCACCCCCACUUCUGCAAGGUCAGACAUGCAAGACAAGUACUUGGCCAAAAAAGCAAGAUUCUAACUAGUGUAAAAAUAGAUUUUAAAUAAAAUAGAGUCUCUAUAGGAAAGAGAAU